UAGCCGGUGAAAGUCCGGUCGCGGGAAGGGCCAAGCCCCCGCGUAGCUAGGAUACCUACGUAUGGCGAAAUCUGUACGUAGAAGCGUAUCGACGAAAG
This 98-nucleotide unclassified non-coding RNA is filed under the name Paenibacillus sp. CECT 9249. Lineage: Bacteria; Bacillati; Bacillota; Bacilli; Caryophanales; Paenibacillaceae. The record is from RNAcentral.